CAGCAGCCACGGUAAUACGAAGGUCCCGAGCGUUGUUCGGAAUCACUGGGCGUAAAGGGAGCGUAGGCGGCGUGGUAAGUCAGAUGUGAAAUCCCGGGGCUCAACCCCGGAACUGCAUCCGAUACUGCCAUGCUAGAGGAUUGGAGAGGUAGCUGGAAUUCUUGGUGUAGCAGUGAAAUGCGUGGAGAUCAAGAGGAACACUCGUGGCGAAAGCGAGCUACUGGACAAUAACUGACGCUGAGGCUCGAAGGCCAGGGUAGCGAAAGGGAUUAGAUACCCGUGUAGUCCCUGUCUCUUAUAC
RNAcentral lists this ribosomal RNA (301 nucleotides) under uncultured bacterium. Its description in RNAcentral is "partial 16S ribosomal RNA". It matches the Rfam family "Bacterial small subunit ribosomal RNA", at positions 509 to 807 of the family's 1533-position model. The record is from RNAcentral.